AUGCAGGAGAAGGGAGGACAGGCAUUGCAUUCUGACCACCCAGGUUCCAGUGCCAGCCCUGCCCCUACCCCUCUACUGAGGUACUGGACCUCAGGACAGAUGACAGCAGUGCCUGGAGCUGCCCUUCCUCCACAGGACGAGGCCAAUACCUGUGCUUAUCUAGGCCCCAGGGGUGGCCCUCCCUCUCUUCCAGAUGCUGUCCAUCAAACGUCUUCCUCCUCCCUUCUCCUUCUCUCAUGGCCCUUGCACUUUGGGUUUGUUGGAGGAAAAGAGGAAUGACUCAAGGGGGAGAGAACGAAGAAGUAGUUUGUGAGGAACUGAAUGACCCUACACCCUGGUCUCCUGUAUUAUAACCUACUUCAGGGCGCACACUUUUCUUUGUCCCUGUGGACAAAUAGCCCUUGCCUAGAUUUGGUCAUCUCAUAUCUGCAUGUCUUUUUACUUUGGUACUGAAUCUCUAAUCUUUUUUUUUUUUUUUUUUUUUUUCUUUUUGCCAUUUCUUGGGCCGCUCCAGCGGCAUAUGGAGCUUCCCAGACUAGGGGUCAAAUCGGAGCUGUAGCCGCCAGCCUACACCAUAGCCACAGCUACUCAGGAUCCGAGCCGCAUCUGAGACCUACACCACAGCUCGAGGCAAUGCCGGAUCCUUAACCCACUGAGCAAGGCCAGGAAUCGAACCUGCAACCUCAUGGUUCCUAGUCAGCAUUCGUUAACCACUGAGCCAUGACAGGAACUCCUCCAAGCAGUCUUUUUGAGGAAGGGAAAUAUAGCCAGAGUCAUUUUCUUUACCUACCCUCCUGGGACUUGGCUUCAGUGUGUACACAAGUGGCCAUGAUAGUAUGGGAUGGAGCCAGGGGAGGGAAAAGAACACGAGUGGGAUCUUGGCUUAAUAGACAUUAAUCUACAGUAGGUGCUCAGUAAAUGUUUAAAGACUAUGUCUUUCUGUGCUUGUUUCCUCUGCAGGGUAUCUUGGUUAAGAUAUUUGAGGUGCUUUACCACAUAGCUCCCACUAGAUGUCACUGUUGUCAUGUUUGCAAAUCCCAUCUACUUCAUUUCCUCCUACCCUGCCCCCACCGUGGUUUGAUUUCAUCACAUUUAGAACACAUAUACCUAUACAUUUUUAAGUUGGCAGAUUUUUCCUCUAAUAAUUAUGGAAUUCUUGCUUUACUUACAUGUUGUCACUGACUUCCCAUUACUUUUGUUGUUUUACUUACUCCUAUAUUGGGCUUCCAAAGGUCUUGUACACAGAAUGUACUUAAUUAAAUUUGAAUUGAAUUGAAAA
RNAcentral lists this long non-coding RNA (1279 nucleotides) under Sus scrofa (pig). RNAcentral's name for it is "lncRNA (ENSSSCG00065017769.1)". The record is from RNAcentral. Lineage: Eukaryota; Metazoa; Chordata; Mammalia; Artiodactyla; Suidae.